RNAcentral lists this ribosomal RNA (655 nucleotides) under uncultured fungus. Its description in RNAcentral is "LSU rRNA". It matches the Rfam family "Eukaryotic large subunit ribosomal RNA", at positions 23 to 664 of the family's 3401-position model. Lineage: Eukaryota; Fungi. The record is from RNAcentral.
ACCCGCUGAACUUAAGCAUAUCAAUAAGCGGAGGAAAGGAAACUAACAAGGAUUCCCCUAGUAACGGCGAGUGAAGCGGGAAGAGCUCAAAUUUGAAAUCUGGUGGCCUCAGGUCAUCCGAGUUGUAAUCUAUAGAAGUGUUUUCCGUGCUGGCCCAUGUACAAGUCCCUUGGAACAGGGCGUCAUAGAGGGUGAGAAUCCCGUCCUUGACAUGGACUACCAGUGCUCUGUGAUACACUCUCAACGAGUCGAGUUGUUUGGGAAUGCAGCUCAAAAUGGGUGGUAAAUUCCAUCUAAAGCUAAAUAUUGGCGAGAGACCGAUAGCGAACAAGUACCGUGAGGGAAAGAUGAAAAGCACUUUGGAAAGAGAGUUAAACAGUAUGUGAAAUUGUUGAAAGGGAAACGAUUGAAGUCAGUCGUGCUCAAUGGAUUCAGCUGGUUCUGCCAGUGUACUUCCAUUGAGUGGGGUCAACAUCAGUUUUGAUCGCUGGAUAAAGGUUGGAGGAAUGUAGCACCCCUGGGUGAACUUAUAGCCUCCUGUCACAUACAGUGGUUGGGACUGAGGAACGCAGCAUGCCUUUAUGGCCGGGAUUCGUCCACGUACAUGCUUAGGAUGUUGACAUAAUGGCUUUAAACGACCCGUCUUGAAACACGG